Calliphora vicina (urban bluebottle blowfly) is the source of this 431-nucleotide long non-coding RNA. RefSeq lists it as uncharacterized. The record is from RefSeq and is a predicted model, not a curated record. Lineage: Eukaryota; Metazoa; Arthropoda; Insecta; Diptera; Calliphoridae. The transcript has 2 exons.
AAGUAUAUAAGUUACAAAAAUUCCAAGAAUUAAUCGUAGUAAGUUUACAACGUUUGAUUCUAUAAGACAUCAUGCACAUCUUAAACAUUUUAUUGUUAAUAGUCGUAAUUAUGGCCAUAUUUGCUGGUCAAUCGGAAGCUGGAAUUGGUAGAGCUGUAGACAAAGUGGUUGAUACUGGCAGAAAUAUGAAGAAUUCGGUCAAGGAUAAAUUUCAUACUCGUCAGAAUGUGGCUUAAGAAAUCAACGUUUUUUUCUUUAGUUCUAAUUCAAUUUCAAUUUAAUUUUUAUAUAAAAAAUGCUGGGCAUUUUAAUUUCUUUAGAGGAAGACUGUAUUAAUAGAGUAGUAGUUUUUUUUUUAAAUUUAACUGAAGUUAAACACCAUUGCAAUAUCUAAUCAAUAAACAAUAAAACUAUAUUUAAAGCAACACAAA